UCCGGCUUAUCGCCGACAGUUUCCUUAGGGUUCUCAGCUUGACCUGUUAGCAACUAAGGGCAAGGGUUGCGCUCGUUGCGGGACUUAACCCAACAUCUCACGACACGAGCUGACGACAGCCAUGCAGCACCUGUGUUACGGCUCCCUUUCGGGCACGCCCACCUCUCAGCAGGCUUCCGGACAUGUCAAGGGUAGGUAAGGUUGUUCGCGUUGCAUCGAAUUAAUCCACAUCAUCCACCGCUUGUGCGGGUCCCCGUCAAUUCCUUUGAGUUUUAACCUUGCGGCCGUACUCCCCAGGCGCAGGACUUAACGCGUUAGCUACGGGACGCACCCCCAACGGGAUGCACCCCAAGUCCUGAUCGUUUAGGGCUAGGACUAC
This 379-nucleotide unclassified non-coding RNA is filed under the name uncultured bacterium. RNAcentral's name for it is "contains 16S-23S intergenic spacer region". The record is from RNAcentral.